Molecule: long non-coding RNA, 4977 nt
Filed under: Xyrichtys novacula (pearly razorfish)
Lineage: Eukaryota; Metazoa; Chordata; Actinopteri; Labriformes; Labridae
Source: RNAcentral
AUUUUCCGGAAGUUAUAUUCACGCUGCUGGUGCUGCUGUCUGGGCACAUGUAGAAUAAGGAGGAGGUUUGUCUGUGAUCUGAAGUUUUAACCGAGUCCCUGUCAGGUUUAUCCUCCUCUCUCGCUCUCUGGCUCAUCCGUCAUGGCGCAGGAAAAUCUGUCUUUAGUGCUGCACUCAAAGGGAGACCUCAGACUGGUAAGAGACCGGCACAGACUUUUAUAUUAUGUGGUGAACAAAAUAAGUUGUAGCUCGUAUGAAACCAUCUAAAUGCACAUUUUUUUCCUUUUGAUUUUGUUCAUUUCUCAAAGGAAAAUCGCCCUGUCCCGGAGCCAGGACCUAAUGGUGCAGUAUGACAGUCUACUUUUACAAACAUUACAAAAUAAACUCUUAAAAUGUUGAAGAUGUGUGUCUUACUGCAAAACCAUCUCAAAGCUAGAGCACGUCCAGGCUGUUCUGCUUCAACUUCAUGCACUUAAUUUCAUGGAGCAUAUUUUUACCUCCAGAGAAAGUAUCUUUACUGAGCCAAAGCUGAGGUUUUGUUUUUAUGAUCAGGUUGCAAACAUUGCUUUUUGUCAUGUGUGUCCUGUUUUUUCCUUUUCCAGAGGUUUUGCUGCAGAUGCACUCUGUGGGAAUUUGUGGAUCAGACGUUCGUUUCUGGCAGCACGGACGGCUCGGGGAUUUUGUGGUUAAAAAACCUAUGGUGCUGGGCCAUGAGGCAUCAGGGCGGGUGGUGAAGGUCGGAGCUGCAGCCAAGCAUCUGAAAGUAGGUGAGUGGGCGUGUCUGGAAGCUGUUAAAUACUGGAGACUAUACACUCACCGGCCACUUUAUUAGGUACACCUGUCCAACUGCUCGUUAACACUUAAUUUCUAAUCAGCCAAUCACAUGGCGGCAACUUAGUGCAUUUAGGCAUGUAGACAUGGUCAAGACAAUCUCCUGCAGUUCAAACCUAGCAUCAGUAUGGGGAAGAAAGGUGAUUUGAGUGACUUUGAACGUGGCAUGGUUGUUGGUGCCAGAAGGGCUGGUCUGAGUAUUUCAGAAACUGCUGAUCUACUGGGAUUUUCAUGCACAACCAUCUCUAGGGUUUACAGAGAAUGGUCCGAAAAAGAAAAAAUAUCCAGUGAGCGGCAGUUCUGUGGGCGGAAAUGCCUUGUUGAUGCCAGAGGUCAGAGGAGAAUGGCCAGACUGGUUCGAGCUGAUAGAAAGGCAACAGUGACUCAAAUAACCACCCGUUACAACCAAGGUAGGCAGAAGAGCAUCUCUGAACACACAGUACGUCAAACUUUGAGGCAGAUGGGCUACAGCAGCAGAAGACCACGCCGGGUGCCACUCCUUUCAGCUAAGAACAGGAAACUGAGGCUACAAUUUGCACAAGCUCAUCGAAAUUGGACAAUAGAAGAUUGGAAAAACGUUGCCUGGUCUGAUGAGUCUCGAUUUCUGCUGCGACAUUCGGAUGGUAGGGUCAGAAUUUGGCGUCAACAUCAUGAAAGCAUGGAUCCAUCCUGCCUUGUAUCAACGGUUCAGGCUGGUGGUGGUGGUGUCAUGGUGUGGGGAAUAUUUUCUUGGCACUCUUUGGGCCCCUUGGUACCAAUUGAGCAUCGUUGCAACGCCACAGCCUACCUGAGUAUUGUUGCUGACCAUGUCCAUCCCUUUAUGACCACAAUGUACCCAACUUCUGAUGGCUACUUUCAGCAGGAUAAUGCGCCAUGUCAUAAAGCUGGAAUCAUCUCAGACUGGUUUCUUGAACAUGACAAUGAGUUCACUGUACUCAAAUGGCCUCCACAGUCACCAGAUCUCAAUCCAAUAGAGCAUCUUUGGGAUGUGGUGAACGGGAGAUUCGCAUCAUGGAUGUGCAGCCGACAAAUCUGCAGCAACUGUGUGAUGCCAUCAUGUCAAUAUGGACCAAGCUCUCUGAGGAAUGCUUCCAGCACCUUGUUGAAUCUAUGCCACGAAGAAUUGAGGCAGUUCUGAAGGCAAAAGGGGGUCCAACCCGUUAGUAGCAUGGUGUACCUAAUAAAGUGGCCGGUGAGUGUAUGUCACACAGCAAAGGGAGAUUCAGAAACUUUUACAUCUUUUAUCAUCUCUUAUCUCUUUUACCUCAAUCUUAUUUCGGCCUUACUGUCUUUUUAGCUUUUGUUUUACUUGUACUCUUUUCUUAAUUAACCUUUUAGGCCUUUUAUCGUUUUAUCUCUUGCUCAUUUCUGUUGCUCUAUUUUAUCAUUACUUUUAUUAUCAGGAUUACCUGUUGUUAUUAUUUAAUUACCAUUGUUGAUAUUGCCUUUUAUAUUUACUAUCCUGUUCUCGCUUUCGUCCUCCCUUUUAAUUGCAUUAUCCUUUUUUCUUAACUAUUUCAUGUUUUUAUUUUGGUCUUCAUGGUGUCAUUUUAUGUUGCAUGGUUCUUGUAUUGUCUGGGUUCCUUAUGGCAUGAAAAUGGCCUUCAAUACCGUUUUAACUGAGCUUUUUAAUUUUGUCUUUUUCCAUGUGCUCCACAACUACAUGUCAACUUCUGUUUUUCAAAAGUGCUAUACAAAUAAAGUUAUUAUAAUCUUUUUCUAAACUCUUGUCUUUUUAAAAGUUGUCAUUUCAACCAUUUGUGACCGAUUUCACUCCAUAUGAAUAAGUUUCCACUCAGCCUCACUGUAAUAGAGAUACUAUGACAAACUAACACCGGCUUUUUAAUCUCGCCUUGUGUCCUGAAGGUGACAGAGUUGCCAUCGAGCCUGGCGUUCCCCGUGAAAUGGACGAGUUCUUCAAAAAUGGACGAUACAACAUAUCUCCAACCAUCUUCUUCUGCGCCACUCCCCCUGAUGAUGGAAAUCUGUGCCGAUAUUACACCCACAGCGCCGACUUCUGCUACAAGUAACAGUCUGUUCAGGAUUUCAUAGCCACGCUGCAAAAGAUUACUCCACCACUGCCUUAUAUCUUCCUCCAACUGCCUCUUGCUUCACUUUUACAUCCUUCUCUUUCUCUCCUCUUUGUUCCUCUCAUUGUAACAAAUCAGGUUGCCUGACAAUGUGACAUUCGAAGAGGGAGCUCUAAUUGAACCUCUGUCUGUGGGGAUCCACGCCUGUCGCAGAGCAGGUGUGACCCUCGGCAGCAGUGUGCUCAUCUGUGGUGCAGGUGAGAACUAUUAAACCUGCAUUAAAUUUUUGCAUUGAGAAAGUACUGCAGACUGCCUUUCAGAGCAUGAUGCAAUCCGAUAUAAAGGAGGUGAUUGCAAUAUUUAAUAAAUAAAAAUAAAUAAUAAAAUUUGGUUCAACACUCUGUGGGUGUAUUCACAAACCUGAGAAUCAUACUGACUCAACAAAAUCUGAGUGAGAAGCUGCUGAACCUGAACACACCUUGUUAGGGUCUUAAUAUUUAACAAACCCCCUCUGCUGUGAAAACAAGCUAAUAGGAAACAUUUGAGACGAUUCCAUGAAGCAACAACAGAUGAAACACUUGAGGUUUUCAAUUCGGAUAUAGUUGCAGGUUACAGCUAUACUGCGGAUAUUAGUUAUGAAAUGUUAGUCUCGUUCGAGCGUUGAAUGUCUUCACUCAUGCUGUUAGAAUAGACUGUAUCUAUAAGUGUUACAUUAGCCAAUAUUCAGCUGUCUCUGCAGUCGGAGCAUCUCCUUUAUUCGUCCUUUCUCCACAGGACCGAUUGGGUUGGUUUGUUUGCUCGUAGCCAAAGCCAUGGGAGCAUCACAAGUUGUCAUCACUGGUAACUCGCAGAAAAUACAUCUGAACUGAAAUGACCAUUGUCAAGAAACAGGUUCUUGUAGUUGUCCUUGUCAUUAUUAUUUUUAUUCACAAUAAUGUUUGUGAAACCUCGUACCUUGUAUUCAGAUCUGUCCUCAGAGCGCCUCGCAAUGGCCAAAGAGUUGGGGGCAGACUUCCAGCUGACAGUGACAAGAGGAGACGGACCCCAGCAGCUGGCUCAGAGUGUUGCAGACAUGCUGGGCGCUCAGCCUCACAUCACUAUUGAAUGCACUGGAGUCGAGAGCAGCAUGCAAACUGCCAUAUAUGUAUGUGAAUAUCCUUUAUAAAGAGCAUUAGAAGUUGUAUUCAAAACAAGUAAGCAUCAAUGCAUAAACUGGAGACAAUAGAGAAUUCAUUCAGGCGCUGGACUUUUCUACAGUAUUUAUAGUUGAUCAGUAUGGUGCAGCCGUUAUUUAGCUGUAUGUCUUAAUCUUGAUUUAAAAAUCUGACAUAAAUCACAUGAUUUGAAAUUGUUCUGUGUUUUUUUCUUCUUCUCAGGCAGUUCGUUCAGGUGGUGUGGUGGCGCUGGUGGGUCUGGGUGCAGAGAUGGUCACUGUUCCGCUGGUUAAUGCGGCUAUCAGAGAAGUGGACAUCAGAGGGGUUUUCCGCUACUGCAACACGUAAGAAAUUCUCCCUUGCUUGCUCCUCUGGUGGUGUCAGCAGAUGUUCUGAGGCCGAUGAUAAAAGUAACUAAGCUUUUGGUUUGGUUUACAGAUACUAAUAAUUACACGAUAAACCUUCCAGUGAUUGUUUAGUAUCCCAAACAUCUGAAAUAUUUGUCUUUGUGUUGCAGUUGGCCAACUGCCAUAGCCAUGGUGGCUUCAGGUAAAGUGAACGUGAAGCCCCUUGUGACGCACCGUUUCCCUCUGGAACAAGCGGUUCAGGCCUUUGAGACCAACCGUCAGGGUGUCGGGGUAAAGAUUAUGUUAAAGUGUGACCAGAAUGACCAGAAACCCUGACCUGCUGCAGUGACAAAAACCUGAUCAACUGAGGACAACUCAGCAUGACAGACACAAACAUCAACACUGUGAUAGUGUAUACUGUGCACUGCACGAAGUUCAGACGCUCUUUUAGCAUCAAAUGGUACAUGUAAUUAUAGAACACUGAACUCUAAAAGAAUAUUUAAAUGAUUUGAACACGAUUUUCUAUCAUUACAUAAUUUCUAAAUUAUUGACCAUUUUAUAGGCAACUGUUAAAAAAAAAGAGAAUCCUCAGAAUAAAAUCAAAAUCAGAAAAUA